Bactrocera oleae (olive fruit fly) is the source of this 2226-nucleotide long non-coding RNA. RefSeq lists it as uncharacterized. The record is from RefSeq and is a predicted model, not a curated record. NCBI's taxonomy places the organism in Eukaryota, Metazoa, Arthropoda, Insecta, Diptera, Tephritidae.
CACUAUCGAUAGUAAUUUAUUUUGACUGUCGAUGGUUUAUGCUUAUUUAUUAAAUAAUGUUGAAUGGAAACAAAUUAGUAAUUAAAACAAAAAACAAAAACAUAAUAGAACCAUUAAAAAAUUAAUCAUCGUAAUAUUAAGAAGCAGUUCGGUCAAGAGAGCAACACAUCUUAAAAAAAAUUAUAAAAUUUUGAACGUAAUUUGACAAAAAGAAACGUAUGAGUUUAUAUUUACUUAAUAUUUAGUUGAGUAUCCAUUUUGGGAAAUUACGGAUGUACAUCUUCUCGGCAUUGAUAACACUAAAUCCGCGCAUGUCAUUGGAAAUUUUCUGACUUUCCUGUUGAAUAACUGCCCAUAAAUCGUACAUUGUCUUCAGUUUCAGUGCCAUGACUCGCCUCGUCUGGACUCUGUGCCAUUUCAGCAAUGGAAUUGCCUGGUGUUGAAGCCACUGAAUCACAGACCUCGACUUAUGGCAGGGUGCAUUGUCCUGUUGGAAAACUGCUAUGGUGUAUACAGAUAACAGUAAAUGUUCCACAAUCGGUACGAGAUAGUUUUCUAGUAUGCUACAGAAUAUAUCUUGCCCGUUAUCAGCACAAUAGGACCAACACCAUACUUGGUAAAGCCACCCCACACCAUAACACUUCCCCCACCGGGUACUAACAAUCUUCUUGGUAUACUUCUGGUCCAAUUUUUUAUUUGGGGGUGUCGAACAUAAGUUUUUCCAUCAGGCCCGUGUAAGUUGAAUUUAGAUUUGUCGCUCCAAACUACAGAAUUUCAGAAGGAAAGAGUAGAAUCCCUAUGCAGUCUGAUAAAUUCCAAUCGCGCCUUUCGAUCAUUGUGUGAAACUUUUAGACAUUGGCAUGCCCGAAGGUUUUUUUUUCCAAAAGUAGCUGUCUAAAUGUCCUGCUGGCAAUGUUUACGCUAUAUUCAUCGUACACUGAAGCUCGUAUUUGCGAGGAAGUUCCAAAAGGAUAUUUAAGCGCCUGCCGAACAAUGAGUGAAUCUUCUCUUUUUGUGGUCUUUUUGCGUCUAGAUCUCUUUUUAUUUGCAAAUGUUUUAUUCUCACAAAAAUAUCUGGGAGCGUUUUGAAUUUCUAAUGCAACGAUAAAAAUCACUAAUUUUUUUUCCGUCCUGGAACAUGUUCCAUAUUAAUCGCCUUUCCUCUUCAAUGGGGCUCUUGGAACGUCCAAUUUUCAAUAUUUCACACUGAUGUCUAUUAAAAAUUUUACUUACAACUAAUCUCAAAGAAAAAUCACAACCAUAAACGCAAACGAAUUACGAAAAACUUCUCUGAUGGCACCGUGUGCUAAUUAAAAUGCCAGUCUGAAUCAAAUGCUUUUAUGAAGUAAAGGCAUACUUCUUUGAAAACGAUCCCAAAAUUUUCAGUAAUGCGUUCAUAACGACAAAAUAACAACUUAUUAAUAUACAAGAAAAGAAUGUUCUAAAAUACCGUUUUUCAAGCAGUACUAUUGGAAUAGCAGGAUCAGGGACUCUGCGCUUUGUUGAAAUCUCACAUGUAUGAGUUGCCUAGACGAGAAAUAAUAAUUAACCCACCAAUGUGUUCCAUUUUAAGCCCAAAAGGGAAGAUACAACAGUUUUCCUGCAUUGCACAGGGCAUGUGCCAGUCGCUGCACCGAUGCACCUUUUAGUAUUUUAACGGUUCGAAUGAACAUUCGUACACUAGUCGCGCAUCUCAAUGGCUUAUGGGCAGGUUCAUAAAACUUAAUGCAUGCAGCGAAACAUGAACAGUGACCUUAACAGUAAGUAACGAUAAUAAUCACACCUAGGUAGCUGCCGUAUGGUUAAGAAAACGGGAUAUGUGCAUUGCCGGUAACUGCUUCUUAUUAUAAUAGCAAGAGACCUUCUACACCUCCUGAUAGCCACCUGAGUGUAUUACUCUAAUUGAGGGAAAGCGGUUGCAUUGACUACUUUGCAAAUUUUUGCCAACAUAAAUGCUUCCUGAUAACGGGAUGGAUAACAGAUACAAUGAGAUUAACCAAAUGGCCAACCAAAGAUGUAGUGAGGCCAAUUGCGCCCUUCGCCAGCGGCAUUAGAUUCCAAUGUUGAUGAUGAUUUCAGAAAAGUUUGGUCUGUUUCUUGCCUUGCCUGUUUAUGGAGAAGUGGACCUGCCGUAACACUUAUAAAGCCAAUAAUUUGCAUCAACAUUGUUUUUUUUCAUCAAAACACGAAAUGAGCGAAUAAGCAAAUAAAUAAAUAAAACAUUUA